This is a long non-coding RNA of Harpegnathos saltator (Jerdon's jumping ant), 1229 nucleotides long. RefSeq lists it as uncharacterized. NCBI's taxonomy places the organism in Eukaryota, Metazoa, Arthropoda, Insecta, Hymenoptera, Formicidae. The transcript is spliced from 4 exons. The record is from RefSeq and is a predicted model, not a curated record.
CGAGCCUUAACACUGCAGCACCGUCAAUUUGAGAAACAAAUUUAUGACUAUCCCGGUUUUGGAGUUCAGUUGACAAAUAUUUUGAACGUUUGAACGCCAAAGAGAUAUGGCUUUAGAAUAUAUAUUAUCUUCAUCUGAAGAUGAAGAUUUUGAAAACUUAAUUUAUCGAUGGCCAAGAAAUAUAAGAAGACGACCAUCAUAUUUGGAAGAAUUUGAUAAUGUCGAUUUUCAUGCAUGAUUUAGAUUAUCAAAAGAAUCUGUUAUUGCAGUUCUAGCAGAAAUCGAGCAUGAAAUUUCUCAUAAAACAGAACAAAACAAUGCUAUAUCUCCAAUGGACCAGCUUCUCUUGACAUUAAGGUUUUACGUAACUGGAUGUCAUUUGUUGUCAGCAGGAGAUUUUUCUGGAUUUUUAUUCAUCGUGUAACUGCUGCUAUUGCUCGUCUUCGACCAAGAUAUAUAAAGUUUCCUACAACUGCUGAAGAAAUAAAAAAGAAACAAAUAAAGUUUUUUGAUAUUACACGAUUUCCAAGAGUAAUAGGUUGUAUAGAUUGCACUCACAUUAAAAUACAAUCAUUUGGUGGAAAUGACGCUGAAUAUUUAAAAAAUAGAAAGGGUAUUUCAGAAAUAGAAAGGAUAUUUUUCUAUAAAUGUACAAGCAAUAUGCAAUGUAAAUUUGGAAAUAACUGAUAUUGUAGCUCGCUGGUAAAGAUCAGUGCAUGACGCUACAAUAUUUAACAAUUCCAGGAUACGUGCCUUAUUCGAAGCUGGAACAUUUGAAAAUUCUUUGUUAUUAGGUGACGGUGGUUAUGUUGUUUGUUCAUAUUUUAUGACACCUUUACAAAAUCCACAAACUCGUGCAGAGCAGUUAUAUAAUGAAUCGCAUAUACGAACACGCAAUACUACCGAGCGUGUAAUCGGAAUAUGGAAAAGAUUUCCCAUUUUAGCAUUUGGGUCCCGAUUUCAAACAGUAGAUAAAGUAUUAUCUAUGAUUGUUGCAACUGCUGUAUUAUAUAACAUUGCUCGACGUACUGGAGAUCCAUUACCUCCAAAUGAUUUAGAAUCACAAUGGGAAGAUAUUAUAGAAAAUGGAAAUAUACGUUGUAGAAAUGAUGGACGCGGUAAUAAUAAUAGCAUGCAGAUUGUAUUAAUCAACGAUUAUUUUCAAAGAUUAUUAUAGAAUAAUCUGUUUCGGUGCCUCUUACCAAAGAAAGAAUGAGAAAAAAUACGGA